CUACGGAAGGCAGCAGUGAGGAAUUUUGCGCAAUGGGCGAAAGCCUGACGCAGCAACGCCGCGUGAGUGAUGAAGGCCUUCGGGUCGUAAAGCUCUGUCAGAGGGGAAGAACCGCCGGGUGGCUAAUACCUGCCUGGUCUGACGGUACCCUCAAAGGAAGCACCGGCUAACUCCGUGCCAGCAGCCGCGGUAAUACGGAGGGUGCAAGCGUUGUUCGGAAUUAUUGGGCGUAAAGCGCGUGUAGGCGGUUUGUUAAGUCUGGUGUGAAAGCCCUGGGCUCAACCUGGGAAGUGCAUUGGAUACUGGCAAACUUGAGUACGGGAGAGGAUAGUGGAAUUUCGAGUGUAGGGGUGAAAUCCGUAGAUAUUCGAAGGAACACCGGUGGCGAAGGCGGCUAUCUGGACCGAUACUGACGCUGAGACGCGAAAGCGUGGGGAGCAAACAGGAUUAGAUACCCCGGUAGU
Molecule: ribosomal RNA, 464 nt
Filed under: uncultured bacterium
Lineage: Bacteria
Description: bacterial SSU rRNA
Rfam family: Bacterial small subunit ribosomal RNA
Source: RNAcentral